This 74-nucleotide non-coding RNA is filed under the name Schmidingerella taraikaensis. The record is from RNAcentral. Lineage: Eukaryota; Ciliophora; Spirotrichea; Tintinnida; Rhabdonellidae.
AUUGGAGACGGAGCCACCAACUUGGCCAAAAAAGGCCAAGAAGACUGGGACAGGAUUGAAAAGGAGCAGAACAA